RNAcentral lists this ribosomal RNA (253 nucleotides) under uncultured bacterium. RNAcentral describes it as "partial 16S ribosomal RNA". It matches the Rfam family "Bacterial small subunit ribosomal RNA", at positions 524 to 776 of the family's 1533-position model. The record is from RNAcentral.
GACGUAGGGCGCGAGCGUUGUCCGGAUUUAUUGGGCGUAAAGAGCUCGUAGGCGGCUUGUCGCGUCGACCGUGAAAACUUGGGGCUCAACCCCAAGCCUGCGGUCGAUACGGGCAGGCUAGAGUUCGGUAGGGGAGACUGGAAUUCCUGGUGUAGCGGUGAAAUGCGCAGAUAUCAGGAGGAACACCGGUGGCGAAGGCGGGUCUCUGGGCCGAUACUGACGCUGAGACGCGAAAGCGUGGGGAGCGAACAGG